UUUUUUAAGGUUAUAUAAUUAGAUAUAUUCGUUUUUUUAAAAGGUUAUAGAAUAAGAUUUCAUUGCAUCUUAAAACCAGACAACUUUCAGAACUGAAGAAUGACGAAAAAUUAAUAAUAGAGGAGGAGAGGAGGAGCUACAUCAACAUUAUUUCUAUUUUUUCAGCCAAUCAGAGCGCUCCGGACUUCGCCCACUCGCACCAACCUCGCGCCACGCGCUCCAUUCCAUGCCCACUCGCACCAACCUCGCGUUGAACGCGUGUCGUCGAUUUCUGUAGGGGUAAACCCACAAAAUCAUGCCUAUUUUACAUCUACUCGCUUUGUUUCCAAAACAGCCUCGAGUGACUUUUUUCUUUUGUUUUUUUUCUCAAAACCGUAUUAAUUCUAAUGCAAACCGAACCAAAAUUAAUUU
This 411-nucleotide small RNA is filed under the name Arabidopsis thaliana (thale cress). Its description in RNAcentral is "ATSL131570". Lineage: Eukaryota; Viridiplantae; Streptophyta; Magnoliopsida; Brassicales; Brassicaceae. The record is from RNAcentral.